GCAUAUCAAUAAGCGGAGCAAGAUCGGUAUGGGUGGCGAAAGCCGGAGAUUACAACCAGACUAAUUUUUUUACAAUGCUGUCACACAACAACAUAAUAUUUAAAACUUUCAACAACGGAUCUCUUGGUUCUCGCAACGAUGAAGAACGCAGCGAAUUGCGAUACGUAUUGUGAAUUGCAGAUUUUCGUGAAUCAUCGAAUCUUUGAACGCACAUUGCACCCUGUGGUAUUCCACAGGGUAUGCCUGUUUGAGCGUCAUUUCCUUCUCAAGCGUGAGCUUGGUGUUGGCGGAGGUCUUUCGAGGCCCCGCUGAAAUACGCAGGGGGUGCGUGGAAACGAGCUUUCUCUCUACUAAUGUCUAGGUUCUGCCAACUCAUUGGAAGAUUGACUGCUCCCUUCACAAUCCCACCCCCCUAACACACAAACAUUGACCUCAAAUCAGGUAGGACUACCCGCUGAACUUAAGCAUAUCAAUAAGCGGAGGAAGAUUCCC
RNAcentral lists this ribosomal RNA (492 nucleotides) under Komagataea norvegica. RNAcentral describes it as "eukaryotic LSU rRNA". The stretch from base 104 to 257 matches the Rfam family "5.8S ribosomal RNA". Lineage: Eukaryota; Fungi; Ascomycota; Saccharomycetes; Phaffomycetales; Wickerhamomycetaceae. The record is from RNAcentral.